This 718-nucleotide unclassified non-coding RNA is filed under the name Hevea brasiliensis (rubber tree). The record is from RNAcentral. Lineage: Eukaryota; Viridiplantae; Streptophyta; Magnoliopsida; Malpighiales; Euphorbiaceae.
UACAAAGUCACUUAAAUAGGAACUUCUCAAUCUGAAUUAGCUAUUCAUUAAUGCUGUGUUUGAAAUAAUGCAAAAAACUCAAAAAGAAAAUAAAAAAAAUCCCAGGUCAUACAGCUAUUCACAUGAUAUUUAUAUCAGAAUCAAUGUAGUCCCCACUUUCUUUACUGCAUUUUGCCCGCGAACCCAAUAGGGUCUGAUGAGGGUAGGAUGUACGGUAAAAAUCUUUACUAACAAAAUGAAUUAUAAGACCUCUUUUUCAAGUUUUAAUACAGCCAUGAAUGCUUCCUGUGGUACAUCAACUUUACCAAUGGCUUUCAUCCUUUUCUUUCCUUCAGCCUGUUUCUUGAGCAGUUUCUUUUUUCUCGAGAUGUCACCACCAUAGCACUUGGCGAGAACAUCCUUCCUGAUAGCAGAUAUUGCCUCGCUGGCAAUCACUUUUGAGCCAAUGGUUGCCUGAAUUGGUACUUUAAACAUUUGUCUGGGUAUAAGUUCUUUCAGCUUUUGGGUUAAAGCCCUUCCCACAGAAUAUGCCUUAUCUUUAUGUACGAUUGUUGCCAAGGGUUCGACACGAUCACCAUUUAUGAGAAUAUCAAGCUUUAUCAAAUCACUUUCUGUAUACCCAAUGAAGUUGUAUUCCAUGCUUGCAUAACCUUUGCUUCUUGACUUUAGCUGAUCAAAGAAAUCUCCAACCAUCUCAGCAAGUGGCAAUUCAUAUAUG